GCGCCGAGCCCCCGCCCCGCGGGCCCACAAGGCGGGGUCCCCGCGCGCCCCCCGCCCGCCUUACCUCUCUGGACCAGAGCGGCCAAGGAGAAAGCGAGGCAGAUGAGGACCGCCGAGCGCCAGACCACCAUGGCUGGGAGCGGGCGGAGGGCCGCGGAGGAGCGCGGUUUGCGCGAGCGCCCGAGGGGGAGGUCGGGGAGGCGCGCGCACGGAGGAGCCGGAGCCGCAGGAGGAGGACCCCGCCGCCACUGCAGGGCCCCGCCCAGAGCCGGCGCGCGCGGCCCAGCCCGGGGAGCGGGGGAGGGGCGCGCCGGCGGGGCCAGAGUCGAAAACGUGCUCAAUGAUCGACAGACGCGCUGCAGUCCUUUCCCAUGAACCCCCGCAAACGGAGUCCAUCUCCAGGGUUGGGCGAAAUCAGAUUCCAACACUGCCCUGAACAGCAAAAUGCCCGCCGCAGCCUUUGACGUGAACGCCCUCGAGGAGGGCUCCAGCUGCAGCCAGCUUUCCAGGACAAAGAGAGAGCUCCGCUGCUCGCCAGAGUGGCAGAGCGGCGGCGUCGAGCCAGCCCCUGCCCUCCCUCGGCAAGGUGGGCCACGUCCUCCUUUCGGGGGCGGCUGCUACCCCCCCCCAUUAUUUGGCAAAGGCUGCCCUGAGCCCCAUCGUCCUUAGAGGGCGGCUACCGCCACCUCCCCUCGGUGUGCCCCAGCUCCCAUCUGCACCACCAGCACCUCCAGAGCCCCCCGCCUCCCGCACCGGUGGCCCCCGCCCCUGGGAGUGAGCCGUACCAGGGGGGCGGGGGUCUCCCUGACUUAGAGCCGACAUCUUUCCCCCUGACUUCCAGCAUCGGUUGCUCUGCAUCCUGGGACUGGAAAAACAAAACCUUUAAGGGGGUAGUGAGUGUUCCGAUUCUCAGGCAGUUACUUAUUCUGUGACACUAACUACCUGCAGAAUUAAGGGAAAUAGCUAGGAGUUGCUGAACGCACUAUGUACGCGGUUCAGUCCAGGCAUUUUAUCCUUCUUUUGUCUUUCUGACAACUUCCUGUACCACCUCAAUGAUCAAUGAGGGGAAAAGAGCAAACCGGAGAUUUCUGGAGUUAACCAGCUACAGUUCUACAGUGUCAAGGACACAAGAGGACCCCUAGGAACCCCAGUGAGUGAAUGGCUAAGAACAUGCGCUUUGGAGCCACCCAGGGAGGAGAUACUGGCUGGACCCCAGAAGGUUGUGCUGAGGAUUUAUUGCUACGGGGGAAAGUGGGGGACCUGAGACACAUGGCACAGAGAGGCAUUCUUGCCAGUCUUGUAACACCUAAAGAAAUCCUGGCUACUGCGACGUUGAACGGUUGCUGUGUACUCCAGGCUGCAGGGAGUGAGCACAGGAGAUGACACAGGAAUAAGAACCAACAGAAAAGGAUGAUGUUUACCAUGUGCCAAAAGACACCCACUCAAAAAAAUAAAAAGCCAUUAAUCAAAAUA
This is a long non-coding RNA of Canis lupus familiaris (dog), 1473 nucleotides long. RefSeq lists it as uncharacterized. The record is from RefSeq and is a predicted model, not a curated record. NCBI's taxonomy places the organism in Eukaryota, Metazoa, Chordata, Mammalia, Carnivora, Canidae. The transcript has 3 exons.